UGCGCCUGCAAAGGAGGCAGCCUUACCCAUAUUCCAUGUUUUGCAGGCUGACAGGGUCGGGUAUCCUCUCGUGAACAGCAAUUUUGCUGAUUCAAAACCUUUC
This 103-nucleotide small RNA is filed under the name bovine gut metagenome. Its description in RNAcentral is "RT-5 RNA". It matches the Rfam family "RT-5 RNA". From Rfam's summary of the family: Clostridium (Firmicutes). The record is from RNAcentral.